GACGAACGCUGGCGGCGUGCUUAACACAUGCAAGUCGAACGGAAAGGCCCUGCUUUUGUGGGGUGCUCGAGUGGCGAACGGGUGAGUAACACGUGAGUAACCUGCCCUUGACUUUGGGAUAACUUCGGGAAACUGGGGCUAAUACCGGAUAGGAGCUCCUGCUGCAUGGUGGGGGUUGGAAAGUUUCGGCGGUUGGGGAUGGACUCGCGGCUGAUCAGCUUGUUGGUGGGGUAGUGGCUUACCAAGGCUGUGACGGGUAGCCGGCCUGGGAGGGUGACCGGCCACAUUGGGACUGAGAUACGGCGCAGACUCCUACGGGAGGCAGCAGUGGGGAAUGUUGCACAAUGGGCGGAAGCCUGAUGCAGCAACGCCGCGUGCGGGAUGACGGCCUUCGGGUUGUAAACCGCAUUCGCCUGUGACGAAGCGUGAGUGACGGUAAUGGGUAAAGAAGCACCGGCUAACUACGUG
Molecule: ribosomal RNA, 468 nt
Filed under: uncultured bacterium
Lineage: Bacteria
Description: partial 16S ribosomal RNA
Rfam family: Bacterial small subunit ribosomal RNA
Source: RNAcentral